GACGAACGCUGGCGGCGCGCUUAACACAUGCAAGUCGAACGGAAAGGCCUGCUUUCCCUUGUGGAUUGCGGGUACUCGAGUGGCGAACGGGUGAGUAACACGUGAGUGAUCUGCCCCCAACUUGGGUAUAAGCCUGGGAAACUGGGUCUAAUUCCCGAUAGGACUGCAGGGUGGUGCCUGUGGUGGAAAACGAUUUUCUAGUGGUUGGGGAUGAGCUCGCGGCCUAUCAGCUUGUUGGUGGGGUAAUGGCCUACCAAGGCGGCGACGGGUAGCCGGCCUGAGAGGGUGGACGGCCACAUUGGGACUGGGAUACGGCCCAGACUCCUACGGGAGGCAGCAGUGGGGAAUAGUGCACAAUGGGCGGAAGCCUGGUGCAGCGACGCCGCGUGGGGGAUGACGGCCUUCGGGUUGUAAACUCCUUUCGACCGCGAGGAAGCCACCUGGUUGGAAGGGUGGUGACGGUAGUGGUAGAAGAAGCACCGGCUAACUACGUG
Molecule: ribosomal RNA, 494 nt
Filed under: uncultured bacterium
Lineage: Bacteria
Description: partial 16S ribosomal RNA
Rfam family: Bacterial small subunit ribosomal RNA
Source: RNAcentral